UACGGGGGGAGCAAGCGUUGUUCGGAUUUACUGGGCGUAAAGGGCGCGUAGGCGGUCAGCACAAGUCAAUUGUGAAAUCUCCGAGCUUAACUCGGAAAGGUCAACUGAAACUGUGCGACUAGAGUGCGGAAGGGGCGACUGGAAUUCUUGGUGUAGCGGUGAAAUGCGUAGAUAUCAAGAGGAACACCUGCGGCGAAGGCGGGUUGCUGGGCCGACACUGACGCUGAAGCGCGAAAGCCAGGGGAGCGAACGGG
RNAcentral lists this ribosomal RNA (254 nucleotides) under uncultured bacterium. RNAcentral describes it as "partial 16S ribosomal RNA". It matches the Rfam family "Bacterial small subunit ribosomal RNA", at positions 524 to 776 of the family's 1533-position model. The record is from RNAcentral.